Molecule: ribosomal RNA, 463 nt
Filed under: uncultured bacterium
Lineage: Bacteria
Description: partial 16S ribosomal RNA
Rfam family: Bacterial small subunit ribosomal RNA
Source: RNAcentral
GAUGAACGCUGACAGAAUGCUUAACACAUGCAAGUCUUUGGCGAAGCUGUGCUCGCACAGCCUAGCCAAGGCGGACGGGUGAGUAACGCGUAAGGAACUUGCCCUGCAGUCAGGGAUAACAGACGGAAACGACUGAUAAGACCUGGUAAAGUCAGGCGGACUCAUGUCCAGCCUGAUGAAAAGAGAUGCUGCAGGAGAGCCUUGCGUCCUAUUAGCUUGUUGGUGGGGUAACGGCCCACCAAGGCGAUGAUAGGUAGCCGGCCUGAGAGGGUGGACGGCCACAAGGGGACUGAGAUACGGCCCUUACUCCUACGGGAGGCAGCAGUGGGGAAUAUUGGACAAUGGGGGCAACCCUGAUCCAGCAAUUCUGUGUGCACGAUGAAGGUUUUCGGAUUGUAAAGUGCUUUCAGCAGGGAAGAAAAAAAUGACGGUAUCUGCAGAAGAAGCGACGGCUAAAUACGUG